Molecule: non-coding RNA, 1263 nt
Organism: Nicotiana tabacum (common tobacco)
Lineage: Eukaryota; Viridiplantae; Streptophyta; Magnoliopsida; Solanales; Solanaceae
Source: RefSeq, a predicted model, not a curated record
GUGGCUAAAAUUGAAAAUAUCCGGAUAAGGGCCGGUUCCCUGAAGUGUAAAAAUGAAAGAUGGCCCAAUAAGAAAAGGCCCAACACUUAGUAAGCUCAACCAGGAUCUGGGCUUGACAUUAAGGGUCUAUCAGAAGAGGGGAAAGGGGAGACAUCAGAUUGAAUAAAUCCACCAAUGUGCAUUUCUCCAAGCUGCAGAAACUCCCUUCAUGAAGCAUGUACAUUUUAAAAACUUCAUGCCUCCUUGGGGAGCGGCUAUCACUUUGUCCAUUAAGAUAGGUCUCUGUAACUUGGCCUAUUUGUCACUGUCUGUGGGAAUCCUUAUUAAGUAAUUAUUGCCUGGGUCAUGGGUGGCUGCUUGGUUGAAAUCCAUCAAGUGCAUUGGUUUUUAUUUUAGCACAUUCUAAUAAAAAUUUCUGACAAUGUCCUAGAAAUCAUAAUUCUAUCUUUGUCAUUGGUCCUUCAUAGGCAGACAUCAAGAAUUCUUCUAAUAGUUCUCGUUCUCCAACCAGUGCUCUACUUUUUUCAAUCGUUAUUUUGUUCAUAACAAUUGAGAGUACUUUGUUUGGAACGUAUACUGCAUCUUUAUGUGAAUAUCGCUAUCCUUAUUCCUUUCCAAGAUUAAAGGUUCCUGCCCAGAGUUAUCAACAUGACUUUUACCAUUAAUUUGUCUUAAUGGAAAUACACCAUUUGCUUCCCUCACAGGCGUAAAAUGCAAGGAAGUUGCUAUAAAAGCAUAAAGCUGAAGGAAACACUUUGCUUCUCUUAGAUUUAUUCUUGUACUUGGUUUGAUGAUUGACUUAUCAUUAGCAGAGGAGUCAAUUUUGUAACUGGUCGCUGGUUCUAAAUUCUAAUAUGCGUCUGGUGACCUCCCACUUGCAGGAGCACUAGAAUUUCGUGAGAUUCCUAACAAAAGUCAAUGGUGGUAAUCUUCCAGUCUUCAUUUCUUAAUUAAUGGUUGACUUUGACAGGUGCGCUCCUGUUGAGCUUUCUUUAUUUUUUUUUUUUAAAAAGAAGAAAAUAAAUUCAAAUCCAUGCAUAAAUCCUGGAGUUGGAUUACACGUGCGGAAGGAUAUUAGAAGAUUACACUUGUACUUAUCGGUUGUUUAAAAAUUUUCAAAGGGUUUUAAAUGAUCCUUACUACUUCAUUCAUUACUUUAAAGUUUUGGUUAGGUACUCAGAAAAUCUGAACCAUGCAUGUGCGAGCCAACUAAUUUGAGAAGGAUGCGUAAAGUUUGAUGCAAAAGGUCUUGUUGAUCUUGCA